This 74-nucleotide transfer RNA is filed under the name Caudoviricetes sp. RNAcentral's name for it is "tRNA-Met". It matches the Rfam family "tRNA". From Rfam's summary of the family: Transfer RNA (tRNA) molecules are approximately 80 nucleotides in length. The record is from RNAcentral. Lineage: Duplodnaviria; Heunggongvirae; Uroviricota; Caudoviricetes.
CGCGGAGUGGAGCAGUUGGUCAGCUCGUCAGGCUCAUAACCUGAAGGUCGUUCGUUCGAAUCGGACCUCCGCAA